CAGUAGCCGCGGUAAUACGUAGGUGGCAAGCGUUGUCCGAAAUUAUUGGGCGUAAAGGGCUCGCAGGCGGUUUCUUAAGUCUGAUGUGAAAGCCCCCGGCUCAACCGGGGAGGGUCAUUGGAAACUGGGAAACUUGAGUGCAGAAGAGGAGAGUGGAAUUCCACGUGUAGCGGUGAAAUGCGUAGAGAUGUGGAGGAACACCAGUGGCGAAGGCGACUCUCUGGUCUGUAACUGACGCUGAGGAGCGAAAGCGUGGGGAGCGAACAGGAUUAGAUACCCGGGUAGUCCCUGUCUCUUAUAC
Molecule: ribosomal RNA, 301 nt
Filed under: uncultured bacterium
Lineage: Bacteria
Description: partial 16S ribosomal RNA
Rfam family: Bacterial small subunit ribosomal RNA
Source: RNAcentral